AGUUACAAGGACAGUACAGAGAGUUCCCAUCUACACUCACCUAGAUUCUCCUAUUGUUUACAUCUUACAUUACUAUGGUACAUUUGUCACAACUAAGGGAUUAACACUUGAAUAUGAUUACUAACUAAACUCCACAGUUUUGUUCAGAUUUCACUAGUUUUUCCCUACUGUUCUUUUUCAGUUCCAGGAUACCACAUUAGCUUCCUAUGGUCUGUGACAAUUUCUCAGGCUUUUCUCGUUUCUGAUGACCUUGACAGCUUUGAAGAGUACUGGUCAGGUACUUUGCAGCAUGUCUCUCCAUUUGGGACUGUGUUUUCCUCACCGCCAGUCUGCAAUUAUGGGUUACUGGCAGGAAGAUCACAGAGAGGAGGUGCCAUUCUUUUCACAUCACAUCAAGGGUACAUCCUACCAGUAUGACUUAUUGAUGACAACUGGAUGACCUGGCCAAGAUGUUGGGGAAGUGGGGUGAGAACACAGCAGGCAAACUACUCUCCGUUAUAGUCAAGGGACUGCUGUCAAACCAUCCUGGCACAUAACAGCACAGAAAUUAAUUCUCAUUUUGAUCCAGUUUGUUUCAACACUUAAGAGUUCUCAUUAAGAAGCCUGUUAUCUUGUAAAGCAAAUAACGUCUAAUAAAGACAUUAAAAAAUAAAAUAAAUGUAAAAAAAAAAA
Long non-coding RNA from Orcinus orca (killer whale), 672 nucleotides. RefSeq lists it as uncharacterized. NCBI's taxonomy places the organism in Eukaryota, Metazoa, Chordata, Mammalia, Artiodactyla, Delphinidae. The record is from RefSeq and is a predicted model, not a curated record. The transcript is spliced from 2 exons.